AUACGGAGGAUCCGAGCGUUAUCCGGAUUUACUGGGUUUAAAGGGUGCGUAGGCGGGUCGUUAAGUCGGCGGUGAAAUGCGGAGGCUCAACCUUCGAUCUGCCGUCGAAACAGGCGACCUUGAAUUCGGUCGAGGCUGGCGGAAUGCGUGGUGUAGCGGUGAAAUGCUUAGAUAUCACGCGGAACGCCGAUUGCGAAGGCAGCUGGCCGGGCCGAUAUUGACGCUGAGGCACGAAAGCGUGGGGAUCAAACAGGAUUAGAUACCCUGGUAGUCCACGCCGUAAACGAUGAUUACUGGAUGUUGGCGAUACACCGUCAGCGUCUGAGCGAAAGCAUUAAGUAAUCCACCUGGGGAGUACGGUCGCAAGAUUGAA
Molecule: ribosomal RNA, 373 nt
Filed under: uncultured bacterium
Lineage: Bacteria
Description: bacterial SSU rRNA
Rfam family: Bacterial small subunit ribosomal RNA
Source: RNAcentral